RNAcentral lists this ribosomal RNA (2302 nucleotides) under Triticum aestivum (bread wheat). RNAcentral's name for it is "partial small subunit ribosomal RNA". The record is from RNAcentral. Lineage: Eukaryota; Viridiplantae; Streptophyta; Magnoliopsida; Poales; Poaceae.
UUCUAUUAAAAGGGAACCUGGCGUUCGUGUGUUCUUUUGCCUCCUAAGUGUGUGGGCGUCGUGGGUAACGUCUCUUGUCUCGCGGCCGCAAGGAACCGCUCGCUACGAAGAGGUGGGAGUGGUGAACCAGUGAGACGAGGACGAGGACCACCGACGUCGCUCGCCGCUGCCGCACGUCAAGUGGAUAUUGCCGAAGCGCCCGCACUUGGACUGCGAGCUGCCGCGCCAGCAGUACGGGUUGCCGGACGAGUACGACUGGUUGCCGUGGUAAGUCUGCUUUCCGGUCCGGAAGGUGGGCAGGGGGGACGGCAAGGCGCCGCUGCCCCUCCGCUUGCCGUGGCCGCGGCGCGCCAGGAAGAGCUGGUGAAAGCAGAAGCGGUAAAAGCCCGUCAUGCGCCUGGACUCGUCGGUGCCGUACCGGAAGAAGCAGAGGCGCAGGUCCCUCGACGAGAGGUGCCGCUACGGUCCGGUCAAGGACCCGGAGGAGUUGCUGUGGCUGCCGCCUUUGGCCUCGCUGGUGUAGAAGCGGCACCUCGAGCUGUGCGAGAAGUUGCGGCUCAAGGCACUGUAGUUGUCGUUAGUGCAGCCGCAGCUGCAGCUAUCGGACCAAAGCCAGCGAAGGUGGCUGCGGCCCAUGAUGCUGCUGCCGUGGCCCUGCAAGGCCUUGGAUUCGGAUUAGUCGGCCCUCCGGUACGUUCACACCCACCUGAUGUUGCCGCCGCGGUCCCUCCAGCGGCACUGGCACCGAGGGGACCCGUACCGGUCCGGGUUCUUCGGGGAAGAGUCCUGGCGGCAGUUGGAGAGCCCGCACCACGUCUCGUGCUACAACCAGCCUAAGAGCAGCCGGUGUCCACAGGAGUGGUGUGCGGUGAAGCAGGAGCCGACCUCGAAGCGCGACCUGCACCGUCGGGGCCGUGACCUGUGGAGCCGCGACGGCCGGAACGGUGCCCGGACCGGUUUCGGUGCCAGGUCCCACGACCACUAGCACGACGGGUAUCGCAACCGUCGAGACCAAGAGCAAGACCCGUAGCCUCACAUGUAGAAACAUGCUGCCGAAGAGUUCAAGAGCCUCGACGCGCUCCUGACCCUCCUGCGCAAGCCGGGGGUGGCUAAGAGUAUGUUUCUUAACAUAGUACGCUGGUUCCCCAAGUCGCUGUUCUUGGACGAGCCCCGUCCUCCGAAGCCUUCACACAUGUCCCCGUUCGAGGCGUUCGGCCUGUACCUCCAGCGGCAUUUCUCCCACAGAGUACUUAGUUCCGUCCCCUACUUCCUCAAGCAGCGGCUCCACCGUUCGUAGCCUGCCGAUGCCGUGGCCUUGGAGCACGGUAACGAACCGAUAACGGCCGCGUUUCCCCUUGAAGAGGACCAAAUGCUAAUGUACGGUUUACCUUCGGAACUAUUUAUGAACAUACUACCUGGUAGUCGUCCAUGUGACCUAACCGGAGUUUCUAAAGUGUAUUAGUCUCCCCACCGAAGACCCAAUGACAUAGAGGUACUCCUAACCCUCGUUCAACAGUAGGUGGCUCUACACUUCCGUUCGUUAUAAGAAGAUCUGUCGCUCUACUUACCCGCCAAUCCCCUAAAGCCGGAACGUUCCGACAUGCUGGUACCUCGCCUGCGGGUUUGCUGCGUACACCAACCGUGGUACCCGAUGGAGCGAGGACUCGAACCUGUGUGGCCGUUCCGUUGGGGCAGGUGGCUACACAAGCGGAAGCCACGUAAGGAAGACCUUUAGUGCACACCCGCCUCCGGUUAGCUCGUUUUGCUCGUGGUGUUGGCGUAGCACGAGCACCUAAGCCACUAGCUCGUUACCGCGUUCCCAAACUAGGAACCGCGUCACCUAUGCUCCUAAGGUUCACCCAAAUCAGGCCUGUACCAGAGCGACCACGACUUUGAACGCAACAAUACGAGCGUGGGUAACGGAUUGCCUUCCGGUUGGUACGCCGUCCAGUACGUCAUGGAGCUGCCGCUGUACCAGGAGGGCCUGAACAGCAGCCGCAUGGAGUCAAAGUGGUACGACCUCGCCUACAUACUACCCCUGAAGUUGGUCUUUUACAACGGUAUGCGUAGUAGUUGCUCGUACCCACGUCAAAGACUAGAGAGACCUCCUUCCACUGUUACAAGAACGCCAUUCAUCCUAACACAUUGAUUGAUAAUUGACUGGUCACCGAUGAUAUAUGUGUAGAUGAUCAUACGACAUGAGUAAAAUGGACUUUACAUACUGGACUACGAAAUGGAUUAAAUACCAACUUAACGUAUAUUUGUCUUGUUACGUUAGUUUGUUCACUGUACGCAAAAAGGG